CCUACGGGGGGCAGCAGUGAGGAAUAUUGGUCAAUGGGCGCGAGCCUGAACCAGCCAAGUCGCGUGAGGGAAGACGGUCCUAUGGAUUGUAAACCGCUUUUGUCGGGGAGCAAAAGACGCCACGCGUGGCGUUCCGAGAGUACCCGAAGAAAAAGCAUCGGCUAACUCCGUGCCAGCAGCCGCGGUAAUACGGAGGAUGCGAGCGUUCGCCGGAUUUAUUGGGUUUAAAGGGUGCGCAGGCGGAAGAUCAAGUCAGCGGUAAAAGUGAGAGGCUCAACCUCUUCGAGCCGUUGAAACUGGUUUUCUUGAGUGAGUGAGAAGUAUGCGGAAUGCGUGGUGUAGCGGUGAAAUGCAUAGAUAUCACGCAGAACUCCGAUUGCGAAGGCAGCAUACCGGCGCUCAACUGACGCUCAUGCACGAAAGUGUGGGUAUCGAACAGGAUUAGAUACCCUUGUAGUC
This 459-nucleotide ribosomal RNA is filed under the name uncultured bacterium. Its description in RNAcentral is "partial 16S ribosomal RNA". It matches the Rfam family "Bacterial small subunit ribosomal RNA", at positions 338 to 795 of the family's 1533-position model. The record is from RNAcentral.